This 372-nucleotide ribosomal RNA is filed under the name uncultured organism. RNAcentral's name for it is "bacterial SSU rRNA". It matches the Rfam family "Bacterial small subunit ribosomal RNA", at positions 526 to 896 of the family's 1533-position model. The record is from RNAcentral.
CGUAGGUGGCAAGCGUUGUCCGGAUUUACUGGGCGUAAAGGGCGUGCAGGCGGUUUGUUAAGUGCAGGGUGAAAGCUCCCGGCUCAACUGGGGGAGGUCCUUGCAUACUGGCAAACUCGAGGGAGGCAGAGGAAAGUGGAAUUCCCGGUGUAGUGGUGAUAUGCGUAGAUAUCGGGAGGAACACCUGUGGCGAAGGCGGCUUUCUGGGCCUUACCUGACGCUGAGACGCGAAAGCGUGGGGAGCGAACCGGAUUAGAUACCCGGGUAGUCCACGCCGUAAACUAUGGACACUAGGUGUGGGGGGUAUCGACCCCCUCCGUGCCGAAGCUAACGCAAUAAGUGUCCCGCCUGGGGAGUACGGCCGCAAGGCUA